RNAcentral lists this ribosomal RNA (2412 nucleotides) under Polymerurus nodicaudus. RNAcentral's name for it is "eukaryotic LSU rRNA". It matches the Rfam family "Eukaryotic large subunit ribosomal RNA", at positions 39 to 2105 of the family's 3401-position model. Lineage: Eukaryota; Metazoa; Gastrotricha; Chaetonotida; Chaetonotidae. The record is from RNAcentral.
CAUAUCACUAAGCGGAGAAAAAGAAAAUAACAAUGAUUCCUAGAGUAACGGCGAGUGAAAUAGGAUAAGCCCAUAGCCGAAUUCUGCUGUCCUCGACGGCAGCUAGAAGUUGUGGCGUUGGGAACUGCCUAUUGUAACCGAUCGGCCGGGCUACGCGACUCCUCUUGAUUGUGGUUUGCCCAUAGCAGGUGAAAGGCCUAUUGGUCGUAGCCUCGUGCUGAAGGCCGGCGGUGAUGGCAGUCCUUAGAGUCGGUUUGUUUGGGAUUGCAGACCGAAGUAGGUGGUAAACUCCACCUAAGGCUAAAUACGAUCGCGAGUCCGAUAGCGCACAAGUACCGUGAGGGACAGUUGAAAAGAACUUUGAAGAGAGAGUUCAAAGUACGUGAAACCGUUCAGAGGUAAACGGGUAGAAAGUCGAAUUAAAAGUUGACAAUCAAACCGUUGGUCAAGUCGGAGUUGGGCUGGUAACACGUUAAAGGUUGCCAGUUUGCUCGUAUGGCUGACUACGGUUGUAUUUGUUGACUUUGGAUCGCCGCAACGGCAGUGACUGACCGGCUGGCGUCUAUUCCUCUGGCCGAUGUAGAUCCGUAUGGGUCUCGUACAAAACGUCGGCACAUGGGUAGGCGUCCCGUGUACAUGGCACAGUCGAUAAUAACAGUAGCCUAAGCGUUCCGGCCUGGUUAUUCGUUCGUUCUGUAUUGGUAGUUUGAUCUUAAACAAGUUCAGCUGUUGAUAUCAGGGCGGCGGUGGCUGGUUUAAAGACGGAACAAAGGUUACAUUGGCGGCGUUAGACUACGAAUUAUCUACCUGACCCGUCUUGAAACACGGACCAAGGAGUCUAACAUAUGCGCGAGCCAUUGGGAUUGAUUAUAAUAACGAUACCCAAAGGCAUAGUGAAAGCAAAAAUGGUGAGAUCUGUCGUUUAUUUGUUACGCAAAUAACGGCGGCGCAUCAUCGUCACGCCUCAAUUCGGCUUCGGCUGAGGAGGCGCAGACUGAGCGCAUAGGUUGGGACCCGAAAGAUGGUGAACUAUGCGAGGCGAGGUCGAAGCCAGAGGAAACUCUGGUGGAGGACUGUAGCGGUUCUAACGUGCAAAUUGAUCGUCGCAGCUUCGUAUAGGGGCGAAAGACUAAUCGAACCAUCUAGUAGCUGGUUCCCUCCGAAGUUUCCCUCAGGAUAGCUGGCACUUUCGGAGAGCAGUUUUGUCCGGUAAAGCGAAUGAUUAGAGGCCUUGGGGACAUAACGACCUCAACCUAUUCUCAAACUUUGAAUGGGCAAGAAGAGGAACUCACUUAAUUGGAGUUCCUUAUUUCAUGUGAAUGCUUGAGUGCCAAGUGGGCCAUUUUUGGUAAGCAGAACUGGCGCUGUGGGAUGAACCAAACGUCUAGCUAAGGUGCCAAAUGCUAACGCUCAUCUGAACCCAUUAAAGGUGUUGGUUGAUAGAGACAGCAGGACGGUGGCCAUGGAAGUCGGAACCCGCCAAGGAGUGUGUAACAACUCACCUGCCGAAUCAACCAGUCCUGAAAAUGGAUGGCGCUGAAGCGUUGUGAACCUAUGCUAGACCGGCAUUGCAAUUAUUACAUAUAAGAAACAUGCGAUGCCGAGUAGGAGGGUCGCUGUGGUAUGCGUUGAAGCUUAGGGCGAGGGCCCGAGUCGAGCUUCCACAGGUGCAGAUCUUGGUGGUAGUAGCAAAUAUUCAAACGAGAACUUUGAAGGCCGAAGUGGAGAAGGGUUCCAUGUGAACAGCAUUUGAACAUGGGUCAGUCGGUCCUAAGCGAUAGGCAAAUGCCGUUCUGAAAGCAGGCUUAUUUAUAUAACUAAUAAUUAUUUKAAUUAAUGCCUGAUUUUGGUCGAAAGGGAAUCGGGUUAAUAUUCCCGAACCUGGACGCGGAGAUGGAGUAGUAGUGUAACAACUGCUACUCAGUGCGGUAACGCAAACGAUCUCGGAUUCGUCGGCGGGAGUCCCGGGAAGAGUUCUCUCUUCUUUGUAAGGGGCUGAAUCCCUGGAAUCGGCUUAGCCGGAGAUAGGGAUAUUGCACAAGCGCCCGUAAAGCACCACACUUCUUGUGGUGUCCGGUGCACGACUGUCGACACUUAAAAGUCCGAGCUAGACGUUCAUAAUGUUCGCGCCAGGCCGUACCCAUAUCCGCAGCAGGUCUCCAAGGUGAACAGCCUCUGGCCUUAGACUGAUGUAGUCAAGGGAAGUCGGCAAAUUGGAUCCGUAACUUCGGAACAAGGAUUGGCUCUAUGGGUUGGGCCGUGACGGGCUGUGCUAGGAAGCGAUGCCUGCUACUGAUGCUUUGGGUCUGACUGGCAACGGUUGGGCCUAGCGUCGGUUGGCGGCGCGUGGAUCUGGCAUGGCUUCUGCCGGUGCUCCUCGUGGGUGCCGGCAUCGUUCGGCAAAAAGCAACC